UACGUAGGGAGCGAGCGUUGUCCGGAUUCACUGGGUGUAAAGGGUGCGCAGGCGGGUUGGUAAGUCAGAGGUGAAAUCUCACAGCUUAACUGUGAAACUGCCUUCGAUACUCCCAAUCUUGAGUUAAAGAGAGGUUGAUGGAAUUUCAGGUGUAGCGGUGAAAUGCGUAGAUAUCUGAAAGAACACCAGUGGCGAAGGCGGUCAACUGGCUUUUAACUGACGCUCAGGCACGAAAGCGUGGGUAGCGAACGGG
RNAcentral lists this ribosomal RNA (253 nucleotides) under uncultured bacterium. RNAcentral describes it as "partial 16S ribosomal RNA". It matches the Rfam family "Bacterial small subunit ribosomal RNA", at positions 524 to 776 of the family's 1533-position model. The record is from RNAcentral.